UUCAUCCACCAACCGCCCCAUUCCAUCUUCAACCCUAAUUGUUUUGCCGCCCCCUACGCGUCGCUCCAACUCCUAAUGUCCCUCCCUAGACGGAAAAUUGGAGUGAGUUCAUUGUCGCUUCUUCUUCCCUCCCAGCCGUUUUCGUUCGCGACGCUUCGUUCCUGCUUAUUGAUCCUGGCCAUUUUCAUUACCGGCGCUUCGUUCACGUUCGUUCGCGGCGCUUCGCUGUCUCUAUCUCUCUAGGCUUUGUCAUUUUCCUUUUCAAAACCCUAAAUCAUCGCGCAACACAUCCUCCUUUUUCCCACCUUGGCACCACUCUCCACGGAGCAGCGCCACCGCCCUAGCGAAUCCCCUCGCCCUAUGGCGGCGGAGUUGAAGGCCAACGACUCCUCCGUGCCCUUUGAGAUAUCUAUGGAGAGGACCCUGAAGCUUCUAUGGUUUUCUGAUCCUACAAGGACGAUUGCCAAGCCGUAACCUAAAUCUCUUUUUGGGUGUUAAUUUGAUUCAAAUUACAUUUUUCAUUUGGUAUUUUUUUAAGAGAAAAAUUAGAUUUUUGGAUGAUAAAAGGACCAUCCGGUGACUACAACAUCUUCCUUACCCCUCUCUCGAUCUCAAUCUCAAUCUCUAUCUCUCUUUGUUUUGAUCUACAAUUAUGAUGUGUUUUCGAUGAUUUUGCGAUGAUUUAGGUGCAGAAAUGUAGACAGAUGAGGAUUUAGCAUUGAAGCAGUAACUGGAAUUGUAUGUUGAAAGAGUUUUGGACUUGGAUCCCGGCAUUCAAAAUCUUGCCCUUGAAAGCAUGAGGAUCUAUCUGUCGACUUAAGUUGGAUGACGAUUAUGCAACUGUGCAGCCAUUGAUUUCCUUACAAAUUUUUUCGGUGCUCUGCUUCAUUUUAUUUUACUUAAUGUAAGUUGCUAUUUCACUUCCUCUUUUUCUGCUACUAUUUCUUCUAUCACAUAUCUGGUAUAUACAUAUGAGUUCAUCCAAUUAUUCCUUAUGCCUAUAUUUUCUUUUUGUUUAUAUCUAAUCUUAAAAAACUGCUAGAAAAUAAACUAAAUUUGUAUGCUUAUGCUGUAUAAUAAAUUCAUAUAUGUCGUCUUCUAUCAUGUGUUAAUACUCAUGUCUAACCUCUUAAAGCAGAAUCUGAGGAGCUAAAUCCAUAAAUGCAUGCAUGUUGUAUUUUAUCAUGUGUAAACAUUUAUGUACCUAAUCUCUUAAAGUUGAUGUGUAAAUCUAAAUAUUAUAUAUUUCUUAUCCUUUUAACUCAAAUAUUUUAUCUAUUUUAUAAUUAUUAUAUUAUGCAUCUUUGAUAUUGAUUACUGAUGGUUAGCUUAAUCUACAUUUCAUUUAUUAAGAACACAGAAAUAACUGAUACAGUAAUACAAAAGACUAUUUUUAUCACUAUAAUACAUGCCCAAUUUUUUUGCAUUUACUGACUAUUGCUUUUUCUUAGUGCUAACUAUUGCAGAUGUUUUUUGACUGCUACAACUCUAAAUUUCAUUGUAUCUAUGGCUGCCACUGCUGCUGUAGCUUCGGAUGUUUCUAUUUUUAUUUAUCUAUUAUUCAAAUCUUUUUAUUCUUCUGAUGUAUUUACUAUUUCUUCUCUCUUUAGCUUCUUUAUUUACUAUUUCUUCUAUCUUUAUUUAUACAUCAAAAUUUCUUCUCC
Long non-coding RNA from Ananas comosus (pineapple), 1664 nucleotides. RefSeq lists it as uncharacterized. The transcript is spliced from 3 exons. The record is from RefSeq and is a predicted model, not a curated record. NCBI's taxonomy places the organism in Eukaryota, Viridiplantae, Streptophyta, Magnoliopsida, Poales, Bromeliaceae.